This 263-nucleotide ribosomal RNA is filed under the name Amantichitinum ursilacus. RNAcentral describes it as "partial 16S ribosomal RNA". It matches the Rfam family "Bacterial small subunit ribosomal RNA", at positions 92 to 358 of the family's 1533-position model. Lineage: Bacteria; Pseudomonadati; Pseudomonadota; Betaproteobacteria; Neisseriales; Chitinibacteraceae. The record is from RNAcentral.
UUAGUGGCGAACGGGUGAGUAAUGCAUCGGAACGUACCGUGUAAUGGGGGAUAACCUACCGAAAGGUGGACUAAUACCGCAUACGCCCUGAGGGGGAAAGAGGGGGAUCGCAAGACCUCUUGUUAUACGAGCGGCCGAUGUCGGAUUAGCUAGUUGGUGAGGUAAAGGCUCACCAAGGCAACGAUCCGUAGCGGGUCUGAGAGGACGACCCGCCACACUGGGACUGAGACACGGCCCAGACUCCUACGGGAGGCAGCAGUGGG